This 305-nucleotide ribosomal RNA is filed under the name uncultured bacterium. RNAcentral describes it as "partial 16S ribosomal RNA". It matches the Rfam family "Bacterial small subunit ribosomal RNA", at positions 506 to 807 of the family's 1533-position model. The record is from RNAcentral.
ACAGCAGCAGCCACGGUAAUACGGAGGGUGCAAGCGUUAAUCGGAAUUACUGGGCGUAAAGCGCACGCAGGCGGUCUGUCAAGUCAGAUGUGAAAUCCCCGGGCUUAACCUGGGAACUGCAUUUGAAACUGGCAGGCUAGAGUCUUGUAGAGGGGGGUAGAAUUCCAGGUGUAGCGGUGAAAUGCGUAGAGAUCUGGAGGAAUACCGGUGGCGAAGGCGGCCCCCUGGACAAAGACUGACGCUCAGGUGCGAAAGCGUGGGGAGCAAACAGGAUUAGAUACCCCAGUAGUUUCUGUCUCUUAUAC